AUCCUUUUCUGGUUCAUAACUUGAUGAUUGGGUGUUCAGACCACUGUAUGAGAUGUGCCUCCCGUAAACCUUGUUAUGACGUCGGCACGUUACCCUUCUGUUG
This is a small nucleolar RNA of Talpa occidentalis (Iberian mole), 103 nucleotides long. RefSeq annotates it as small nucleolar RNA U13. Lineage: Eukaryota; Metazoa; Chordata; Mammalia; Eulipotyphla; Talpidae. The transcript has a single exon. The record is from RefSeq and is a predicted model, not a curated record.